This 253-nucleotide ribosomal RNA is filed under the name uncultured bacterium. Its description in RNAcentral is "partial 16S ribosomal RNA". It matches the Rfam family "Bacterial small subunit ribosomal RNA", at positions 524 to 776 of the family's 1533-position model. The record is from RNAcentral.
UACGAAGGGUGCAAGCGUUACUCGGAAUUACUGGGCGUAAAGCGUGCGUAGGUGGUGCGUUAAGUCUGUCGUGAAAGCCCCGGGCUCAACCUGGGAACGGCGAUGGAUACUGGCGCGCUAGAGUGCGGUAGAGGAGAGUGGAAUUCCCGGUGUAGCAGUGAAAUGCGUAGAUAUCGAGAGGAACACCAGUGGCGAAGGCGAGUCUCUGGACGACACCUGACACUGAGGCACGAAAGCCAGGGGAGCAAACAGG